GACAGAGGGGGCAAGCGUUGCUCGGAAUUACUGGGCGUAAAGGGCGCAUAGGCGGGAUGGCAAGUCGGUCGUGAAAUCCCUCGGCUCAACUGAGGAUCGUCGAUCGAUACUGCCGUUCUUGAGGAUUGCAGAGGAGACUGGAAUUCCCGGUGUAGCGGUGGAAUGUGUAGAGAUCGGGAGGAACACCGGUGGCGAAGGCGACAUCCUGGACCGGUAUUGACGCUGAGGCGCGAAAGCCAGGGGAGCAAACGGG
This 253-nucleotide ribosomal RNA is filed under the name uncultured bacterium. Its description in RNAcentral is "partial 16S ribosomal RNA". It matches the Rfam family "Bacterial small subunit ribosomal RNA", at positions 524 to 776 of the family's 1533-position model. The record is from RNAcentral.